This 308-nucleotide long non-coding RNA is filed under the name Ananas comosus (pineapple). Its description in RNAcentral is "long non-coding RNA (ACOM_LNC041126)". The record is from RNAcentral. Lineage: Eukaryota; Viridiplantae; Streptophyta; Magnoliopsida; Poales; Bromeliaceae.
UUUGAACAAUGAAUUUCGUAACGAAUUGUUAAAUAUAAAAAUGUUUAAACACCAUUCUCUAACAACUUAAGUUUUUAGAGUACAACGGUUGUUUCAUAUGGUAUCAGAGCAGGAGGUCCUGAGUUCGAGUCACGCCAGGCUCCUGGCAUAUUAAUUUUCUCCCAUUUAAUUCAAGCUCACGUCAUGGGCCGAUUAAAAAGUCUCAAGCCCAGACGUGAGGGGGAGUUUACUCUAAGCUUUUAGAGUACAACGGUUGUUUCACACGAAUACUGUUGAGAAAAAAAGACCCCCCAUAUAUGAUAAGACAA